RNAcentral lists this ribosomal RNA (254 nucleotides) under uncultured bacterium. RNAcentral's name for it is "partial 16S ribosomal RNA". It matches the Rfam family "Bacterial small subunit ribosomal RNA", at positions 524 to 776 of the family's 1533-position model. The record is from RNAcentral.
CACGUAGGGGGCAAGCGUUGUCCGGAUUUAUUGGGCGUAAAGAGCUCGUAGGUGGUUCGGUAAGUCGGGUGUUAAACCCCCAGGCUCAACCUGGGGACGCCACUCGAUACUGCUGUGACUAGAGUCCGGUAGGGGAGCGUGGAAUUCCUGGUGUAGCGGUGAAAUGCGCAGAUAUCAGGAGGAACACCGGUGGCGAAGGCGGGUCUCUGGGCCGAUACUGACGCUGAGGAGCGAAAGCGUGGGGAGCGAACAGG